Molecule: long non-coding RNA, 562 nt
Organism: Sarcophilus harrisii (Tasmanian devil)
Lineage: Eukaryota; Metazoa; Chordata; Mammalia; Dasyuromorphia; Dasyuridae
Exons: 2
Source: RefSeq, a predicted model, not a curated record
GAUGGCUGCCUUGCCAAGCAUCUGAACUAGAAAGAAAUUCUAUGUUUACACUGCCUCAAAGAUACAGUAUUUCAGAUGACCUGAAGCUGGGAAGGAGAGUGAAGAUGCCAAGUGACGGAAACUUAAAUUGUUAAUCAUGAUAACUCCUGGGUCAAGUUUGACAAGAUAAAAUUUAAUACAGGUAAACAUAAAAGUCCUGUAUUGGCUUUCAAAACCAACUGCACAUACCCAAAGAGAAGCUGUGGCUAGAAAGACACGGGAUGUUUGGGAGGCCGCAAAUUACAAAGCUGCUUAUUAAACUGAGAGUUUACAAGUCAACAACAUGAGUAUUUGGCCAAGUCUCGUAAUUUUGCUGGUGAUAAUCUUGUACCAAUGGAGGUCAAUAAGUGUUGAAUGAUUUAAAGUUUUAACAACUGCCUAAGAUUAGGUUGAUUUCCCUAAGUCAAUCCCUAUAUGACAGAGAUGAGAGCUGAGAGAUCAUGCUGUUGUCAAGGAUGGUGUUCCAUUUAUACCAACCCUAUGUCAAGAGUAUGAUAUGGUAUAUAAUACAAGGCAGUAUCAA